RNAcentral lists this long non-coding RNA (1025 nucleotides) under Marmota monax (woodchuck). The record is from RNAcentral. Lineage: Eukaryota; Metazoa; Chordata; Mammalia; Rodentia; Sciuridae.
CACACACAGCCAUGGCAUCGCCGCCUGGCUGGCCCCAGACCUUAGGGACUCGUGUAGCGACCGCUGCGCCCAGCGCUGCCAAACAAGAAGCCCCGCCAGCCGAGGCUGCGCCGCCCAGUGUUCCCGAGUGAGCCCCGCGUGCGUGCCGCGCCGCUGUCGGCUCGCUCUGUGUUGAUGGCGAGCGUUGCGGACACUCACGCUGUCUGCUCGCUGGGCUCCCAGCUCCUUCUCCGCCUAGGCUCCGGCUUUUUGUUGCAAGCAGCACUUCCACCAUCCGGCUUUUUUGAUUUUCUCUCUUCGUUGGCGGCGACUGAAAAUAGUUGAUUGGUAUUGGAUCCGCUGGGGAGUGGGAGUGAAGGUGGGGAAAUGGAAGACCUGGAAGAAUCUCUCUUCAGAAAGGCAUCUCCGCCCAGUCGCCAGCCAGCCCUGCCUCUACUUUAAUCCUCGCCAGGACAAUAGAUUAAGUUACUCUUCCUGGGGCAGAAGUCCGUUUCAGAUUCCUGGCAAAAUGAAGGAAAAGGCGAUGAUCAAGACGGCCAAAAUGCAGGGGAACGUGAUGGUGUUGUAUUGCUAUCUGCUACUUUCUGUUUGAGGCUGGGACAAGGAGAUAGGAUGGCUGUAUUCCUUUGGAAGGUCCAGCAGGAGAUACAAUAAUUGUUUCAGCUGCAAGAUCUAGAGUUGUUUACAAAAGUGAGGAAGGGCAGCGUCCAGGGCAGAAGUGUGGGGAGACAUGUUUGGAAGACCCAGAUAAUGGGCCAUAUGGAGGUCUUCCUUCAAGGAAAGAGAGGAAGGAAAUGAAAGUUAUUUAAUUGAACAAAUACAGGCUGGCUUAACCACACCCACAUGCAGCAAGGCACUUGUUGCCUGGCACAGAGCAGCAGGGUGGGUUGGUUCAGAACUUGACUUUUGAUGAAGUAUGCCCUGCUCCACUCAAGACCCUAGGGUGUGACACCUGCUCAGAGGCCACCCCAAGGGCUGUCUUCAGCCCAGGUUCUGCUGCUGGCUGGCCUAAUUUCUCAUUAGUG